Molecule: ribosomal RNA, 405 nt
Filed under: uncultured bacterium
Lineage: Bacteria
Description: partial 16S ribosomal RNA
Rfam family: Bacterial small subunit ribosomal RNA
Source: RNAcentral
AUUGAACGCUGGCGGCAGGCCUAACACAUGCAAGUCGAGCGAGCGGCGGACGGGUGCGUAAUGUUUGGGGAUCUGCCCGAUAGAGGGGGAUCACUACUGGAAACGGUGGCUAAUACCUCAUACUAUCGCAUGCACCCUUAUGGGAUUAGCUCGUAGGUGGGGUAAAGGCUCACCUAGCGACGAUCGCUAGCUGGUCUGAGAGGAUGACCGGCCACACUGGGACUGAGACACGGCCCAGACUCCUACGGGAGGCAGCAGUGGGGAAUAUUGCGCAAUGGGGGCAACCCUGACGGAGCCAUGCCGCGUGAAUGAAGAAGGCCUUCGGGUUGUAAAGCUCUUUCGGUAGCGAGGCGGUAAAUAAAGAAGAAGCACCGGCUAACUCCGUGCCAGCCGCCGCGGUAAUAC